This 87-nucleotide transfer RNA is filed under the name Nicotiana tabacum (common tobacco). RNAcentral's name for it is "tRNA-Ser". Lineage: Eukaryota; Viridiplantae; Streptophyta; Magnoliopsida; Solanales; Solanaceae. The record is from RNAcentral.
CAUAUAGAUAGGUAUCUCCGUGGAUAGAGAUAAAGAUAGGGAUCCAUCUAGAUCUUGAUUCACUAUUUCCAUAUUUUUUCUUGAUUC